GGGAGUCAUAGUUUCACUAAUCAGGAGGUCUAGAAGGAGUCACAACUCCACUAAUCAGGAGGUCUAGAAGGAGUCACAGCUCCACUAAUCAGGAGGUCUAGAAGGAGUCAUAGUUCCACUAAUCAGGAGGUCUAGAAGGAGUCAUAGUUCCACUAAUCAGGAGGUCUAGAAGGAGUCAUAGUACCACUAAUCAGGAGGUCUAGAAGGAGUCAUAGUACCACUAAUCAGGAGGUCUAGAAGGAGUCAUAGUACCACUAAUCAGGAGGUCUAGAAGGAGUCAUAGUUCCACUAAUCAGGAGGUCUAGAAGGAGUCAUAGUACCACUAAUCAGGAGGUCUAGAAGGAGUCAUAGUACCACUAAUCAGGAGGUCUAGAAGGAGUCAUAGUACCACUAAUCAGGAGGUCUAGAAGGAGUCAUAGUUCCACUAAUUAGGAGGUCUAGAAGGAGUCACAGUUCCACAAAUCAGGAGGUCUAGAAAAAGUCACAGUUCCGCUAAUCAGGAGGUCUAGAAGGAGUCAUAGUUCCACAAAUCAGGAGGUCUAGAAGGAGUCAUAGUUC
Molecule: long non-coding RNA, 558 nt
Organism: Acanthochromis polyacanthus (spiny chromis)
Lineage: Eukaryota; Metazoa; Chordata; Actinopteri; Pomacentridae
Exons: 3
Source: RefSeq, a predicted model, not a curated record